Long non-coding RNA from Papaver somniferum (opium poppy), 224 nucleotides. RefSeq lists it as uncharacterized. NCBI's taxonomy places the organism in Eukaryota, Viridiplantae, Streptophyta, Magnoliopsida, Ranunculales, Papaveraceae. The transcript has 3 exons. The record is from RefSeq and is a predicted model, not a curated record.
AUUCAAGCUAUGAUUUGGCUUCUGGUCUGUUCUUCCUAAAACAGACUGCUCAUGAGAAAAUAGGGGUUGUGGACGCUCAGUGGAUUGUUCAUCAAACUGUUCCUUCUCUGGGGAACCAGGGGGUGGCACAAAAUGGGAAGCAACCAUGGGAAGGGGUUAGAGAAAGGUGUAGACAAGAAUGGUCCAUUUUCCAAGACAGAUUUGCAGCUGCAGACAAGGCUUAU